Molecule: ribosomal RNA, 158 nt
Filed under: Scapania irrigua
Lineage: Eukaryota; Viridiplantae; Streptophyta; Jungermanniopsida; Jungermanniales; Scapaniaceae
Description: 5.8S ribosomal RNA
Rfam family: 5.8S ribosomal RNA
About the family: 5.8S ribosomal RNA (5.8S rRNA) is a component of the large subunit of the eukaryotic ribosome. It is transcribed by RNA polymerase I as part of the 45S precursor that also contains 18S and 28S rRNA.
Source: RNAcentral
ACGACUCUCAGCAACGGAUAUCUUGGCUCUUGCAACGAUGAAGAACGCAGAAAAAUGCGAUACCUAGUGUGAAUUGCAGAAUUCCACGAAUCAUCGAGUCUUUGAACGCAAGUUGCGCCCGAGGCUUGUCCUGAGGGCAUGCCUGCCUGAGCGUCACC